RNAcentral lists this ribosomal RNA (468 nucleotides) under uncultured bacterium. RNAcentral describes it as "partial 16S ribosomal RNA". It matches the Rfam family "Bacterial small subunit ribosomal RNA", at positions 28 to 507 of the family's 1533-position model. The record is from RNAcentral.
GAUGAACGCUGGCGGCGUGCUUAACACAUGCCAGUCGAACGGAAAGGCCCAAGCUUGCUUGGGUACUCGAGUGGCGAACGGGUGAGUAACACGUGGGUGAUCUGCCCUGCACUUCGGGAUAAGCCUGGGAAACUGGGUCUAAUACCGGAUAGGACGAUGGUUUGGAUGCCAUUGUGGAAAGUUUUUUCGGUGUGGGAUGAGCUCGCGGCCUAUCAGCUUGUUGGUGGGGUAAUGGCCUACCAAGGCGUCGACGGGUAGCCGGCCUGAGAGGGUGUACGGCCACAUUGGGACUGAGAUACGGCCCAGACUCCUACGGGAGGCAGCAGUGGGGAAUAUUGCACAAUGGGCGCAAGCCUGAUGCAGCGACGCCGCGUGGGGGAUGACGGCCUUCGGGUUGUAAACUCCUUUCGCUAGGGACGAAGCGUUUUUGUGACGGUACCUGGAGAAGAAGCACCGGCUAACCACGUG